GAUGAAGAACGUAGUGAAAUGCGAUAAGUAAUGCGAAUUGCAGAAUUCAGUGAGUCAUCGAAUCUUUGAACGCACAUUGCGCCCCUUGGUAUUCCAUGGGGCAUGCCUGUUCGAGCGUCAUUUGUACCUUCAAGCUCUGCUUGGUGUUGGGUGUUUGUCUCGCCUCUGCGCGUAGACUCGCCUCAAAACAAUUGGCAGCCGGCGUAUUGAUUUCGGAGCGCAGUACAUCUCGCGCUUUGCACUCAUAACGACGACGUCCAAAAGUACAUUUUUACACUCUUGACCUCGGAUCAGGUAGGGAUACCCGCUGAACUUAAACAUAUCAAUAAGCGGAGGA
Molecule: unclassified non-coding RNA, 337 nt
Filed under: soil metagenome
Description: partial contains 5.8S ribosomal RNA, internal transcribed spacer 2, and large subunit ribosomal RNA
Rfam family: 5.8S ribosomal RNA (bases 1-120)
Source: RNAcentral